CCUACAUAGCCUUACAGGGUGCUUUUUUGUCUGCAAUAGACUGUAUGUUUAUAACGCCUUUGAAACAAAAAGGAAAGUGCUAAAAUGAAGAGUAUUUUAUUUCUUGUUUACUUCCUCUUUAUUCUAUGUUCCACGGAAGGUGGCGUGAACACAGAGCGAUCUUGUAUCCAAGAUUACCGGGCCUGUUUGAAGCAAUGUUUAACAAAGGAGUUUGGUGAAGCCUGUAGAGAAAGCUGUGAGAAAAGCGCUUCAUGUCAAGAACUUGGAGAAUGUCCAGAACACCCUGUUCAGCCAUGUUUAUUUCUGUUACCACUCCUUCCAACAGCGUGUUCAUCAGACCUUGACUGCCCUGAGUCCCAUCGAUGUUGUAGAUCUGGCCAAAUGGGCUGUAAGACGUCCUGUGUUGAAGUCAGGACCUGAGGAUUCAGAAACAGAUGAGUGACUGGAUGAGAUCUAUAGUUCCAGUUGGUUCAAUACUUUGAAUUUGGCAUUUGGAUACUGAAAAGUCAAGCUGCAAGACGAAAGAAAACCUGAUACUACUUUUAGUAUGAGAGAUGGUUUGUGUGAGUUUCACAUUGUGCAGUUCGGCCUUUCUGAGAAGCUAAUGAAACUUAUAUUAAAGUGGUUGCAAUGGAAAUGAUACCAAGUCUAAGUCGGUGAUAUUUUGGUAUUUGGUCGUACAUUCAAGUCUAUGGCUGAGAACCUGAUAAUGGAAUUUCUCAAUAACAUUGUAGAUUGAGAACAUUGCCAAAAUAAUAACAGUAAGAGAUUGGCCUCAACCUGAGACCAAAUGAGAAGUUUGCAUCUUCUUUGGUUUUGCAACAUAUUACUAAUGGUUUGUUGCCAAUUUCUCAGUGAUAGCAUCACCAUUGUCUGCUAUCAGUAAAACUGUGACACACUUUGAGUGAAGUGAGCAAAGUGAACAAGCAUUUGAUCCUCAAAGCUGGCUUUAGUGGAAGUUCCAGUGCUAUUAUCCAUGACAAGACAGUGAAUUCCUAUCAGACACUGAUGUUCAUGAUAAUGGAAUUGGAGCAGUAUAAUUGCAGUUAAGGUCAGAGUAGAAUAUUUAAUCACACUCAUGACUCUUGAACAUUGAUACUGAAUGACAAAGAAAUGAUUGUUUACAGUUGUAGAUUUCAUAAAAUUUAUUGUCACUUCUUGUACAGUAAGAGGUUUAUUGUUCAGAUCUACCAUAUUUGUAAAAAUGUUUGAUGAAGUUAAAGCCUUUUCCCAAAUGGCAUGUGUCACCCCUCUUUGUUUUCUUCUCACACUUAAAAUGCUUAACCAAAUUGCAUUAACUUUAGUGUACUCUUGGUUUACUAUUUGUCUAAUA
Molecule: RNA transcript, 1333 nt
Organism: Limulus polyphemus (Atlantic horseshoe crab)
Lineage: Eukaryota; Metazoa; Arthropoda; Merostomata; Xiphosura; Limulidae
Gene name: WAP four-disulfide core domain protein 3-like
Exons: 3
Source: RefSeq, a predicted model, not a curated record